RNAcentral lists this ribosomal RNA (301 nucleotides) under uncultured bacterium. RNAcentral describes it as "partial 16S ribosomal RNA". It matches the Rfam family "Bacterial small subunit ribosomal RNA", at positions 509 to 807 of the family's 1533-position model. The record is from RNAcentral.
CAGCAGCCACGGUAAUACGUAGGUGGCAAGCGUUGUCCGGAAUUAUUGGGCGUAAAGAGCUCGUAGGCGGCUUGUCACGUCUGCUGUGAAAUCCCGGGGCUCAACCCCGGGCGUGCAGUGGAUACGGGCUGGCUAGAGGCAGGCAGGGGAGAACGGAAUUCCCGGUGUAGCGGUGAAAUGCGCAGAUAUCGGGAGGAACACCGGUGGCGAGGGCGGUUCUCUGGGCCUGUUCUGACACUGAGAGACGAAAGCUAGGGGAGCAAAUGGGAUUAGAUACCCCCGUAGUCCCUGUCUCUUAUAC